GAUGAACGCUGGCGGCGUGCCUAAUACAUGCCAGUCGAGCGAACGGACGAGAAGCUUGCUUCUCUGAUGUUAGCGGCGGACGGGUGAGUAACACGUGGAUAACCUACCUAUAAGACUGGGAUAACUUCGGGAAACCGGAGCUAAUACCGGAUAAUAUUUUGAACCGCAUGGUUCAAAAGUGAAAGACGGUCUUGCUGUCACUUAUAGAUGGAUCCGCGCUGCAUUAGCUAGUUGGUAAGGUAACGGCUUACCAAGGCAACGAUGCAUAGUCGACCUGAGAGGGUGAUCGGCCACACUGGAACUGAGACACGGUCCAGACUCCUACGGGAGGCAGCAGUAGGGAAUCUUCCGCAAUGGGCGAAAGCCUGACGGAGCAACGCCGCGUGAGUGAUGAAGGUCUUCGGAUCGUAAAACUCUGUUAUUAGGGAAGAACAUAUGUGUAAGUAACUGUGCACAUCUUGACGGUACCUAAUCAGAAAGCCACGGCUAACUACGUG
RNAcentral lists this ribosomal RNA (497 nucleotides) under uncultured bacterium. RNAcentral describes it as "partial 16S ribosomal RNA". It matches the Rfam family "Bacterial small subunit ribosomal RNA", at positions 28 to 507 of the family's 1533-position model. The record is from RNAcentral.